AGGUGCGAUCAUACCAGCACUAAUGCACCAGAUCCCAUUAGAACUUCGCAGUUAUGUGUGCUUGGGCGAGAGUAGUACUAGGACGGGUGACCUCGUGGGAAGUCCUCGUGUUGCACCUC
This is a non-coding RNA of Lupinus angustifolius (narrow-leaved blue lupine), 119 nucleotides long. NCBI's taxonomy places the organism in Eukaryota, Viridiplantae, Streptophyta, Magnoliopsida, Fabales, Fabaceae. The record is from Rfam.